This 311-nucleotide ribosomal RNA is filed under the name uncultured bacterium. RNAcentral's name for it is "bacterial SSU rRNA". It matches the Rfam family "Bacterial small subunit ribosomal RNA", at positions 28 to 322 of the family's 1533-position model. The record is from RNAcentral.
GACGAACGCUGGCGGCGUGCUUAACACAUGCAAGUCGAGCGGUAAGGCCUUUCGGGGUACACGAGCGGCGAACGGGUGAGUAACACGUGGGUGACCUGCCCUCCACUUCGGGGAUAAGCCUGGGUAAACUGGGGUCUAACUACGGGAAUGGGGACCAUUCCAUGCAUGUGGGGUGGUGGAAAGUCGGUGGCUGUUGUGGUGCUGGCGGUGGGGGAUGGGCCCGCGGUCUAUCAGCUUGUUGGGGGGUGAUGGCUUACCAAGGCGACGACGGAUAGCCGGCCUGAGAGGGUGAUCGGCCACACUGGGACUGA